UAGUCCACGCCGUAAACGAUGAUUACUCGUAGUAUGCGAUAUAAUGUAUGCUACCAAGGGAAACCGAUAAGUAAUCCACCUGGGGAGUACGCCGGCAACGGUGAAACUCAAAGGAAUUGACGGGGGCCCGCACAAGCGGAGGAACAUGUGGUUUAAUUCGAUGAUACGCGAGGAACCUUACCCGGGAUUGAAAUGUAUAUGCAGGAUUUGGAAACAAGUCUGUUCUUCGUAAGAAGACGUAUAUGU
This 246-nucleotide ribosomal RNA is filed under the name uncultured bacterium. RNAcentral's name for it is "partial 16S ribosomal RNA". It matches the Rfam family "Bacterial small subunit ribosomal RNA", at positions 791 to 1035 of the family's 1533-position model. The record is from RNAcentral.